Sapajus apella (tufted capuchin) is the source of this 902-nucleotide RNA transcript. It is a transcript of the gene named transgelin pseudogene, with no coding region annotated. The transcript has a single exon. Lineage: Eukaryota; Metazoa; Chordata; Mammalia; Primates; Cebidae. The record is from RefSeq and is a predicted model, not a curated record.
CAAGCCCAGACACGUCUUCACUCCCUCCUGCAAGCCCCAAGGAAGCCCUCUCUCCCCAUGCAUGACCAACUAGGGUCCUUCCUAUGGCAUGACCUGUGAAGUGCAGUCCAAAAUCAAGAAGAACAAUGAGGAGACGGAGGAGUGGCUGGUGGAGUGGACCAUAGCGCAGUGUGGCCCUGAUGUGGGCCACCCAGACCAUGGGUGCCUGGACUUGCAGGUCUGGCUGAAGAAUGGCGUGAUUCUGAGCAAGCUGGUGAAUAGCCUGUACCUUGAUGGCUCCAAGCCUGUGAAGGUGCCUGGGAACCCACCCUCCAUGGUCUUCAAGCAGAUGGAACAGAUGGCUCAGUUCCUGAAGGGAGCUGAGAACUAUGGGGUCGCCAAGACUGACAUGUUCCAGACUGCUGACCUCUUCGAAGGCAAAGAUAUGGCAGCAGCGCAGAGGACCCUGAUGGCUUUGGGCAGCUUGGCAGUGACCAAGAAUGACAGGCACUACCAUGGAGAUCCCAAUUGGUUUAUGAAGAAAGUGCAGGAGCAUAAGAAGGAAUUCACAGAGAGCCAGCUGCAGGAGGGAGAGCAUGUCAUUGGCCUUCAGAUGGGCAGCAAGAGAGGGGCCUCGCAGGCCAGCAUGACAGGCUACAGAUGACCUCAGCAAAUCAUCAGUUAGAGGGGAGAGGGCCAGCCCUGAGUCCUGCCCUCCCCCAACUCCUUGGCUGCAGCCAUCCCACUUAGCCUGCCUCACCCACACCCAUGUGGUAUCUUCAGCCCUGGCCAAGCUUUGAGGCUCUGUCACUGAGCAAUGAUAACUGCACAUGGGCAGUUUCUUCCCCGUUCCCCAGCCUCAGCCCAACUUCUCACCCGAAAGCAUCACUGCCCCAGCCCCUCCCUUCCAGCUGCCCCUGCCA